CCUACGGGAGGCAGCAGUGAGGAAUAUUGGUCAAUGGGCGCGAGCCUGAACCAGCCAAGUAGCGUGAAGGAUGACUGCCCUACGGGUUGUAAACUUCUUUUAUAAAGGAAUAAAGUGAGGCACGUGUGCCUUUUUGUAUGUACUUUAUGAAUAAGGAUCGGCUAACUCCGUGACAGCAGCCGCGGUAAUACGGAGGAUCCGAGCGUUAUCCGGAUUUAGUGGGUUUCAAGGGAGCGUAGAGGGGUUGUUAAGUCAGUUGUGAAAGUUUGCGGCUCAACCGUAAAAUUGCAAUUGAUACUGGCAGUCUUGCGUACAGUUGCGGUAGGCGGAAUUCGUUGUGUAGCGGU
RNAcentral lists this ribosomal RNA (347 nucleotides) under uncultured bacterium. Its description in RNAcentral is "partial 16S ribosomal RNA". It matches the Rfam family "Bacterial small subunit ribosomal RNA", at positions 338 to 682 of the family's 1533-position model. The record is from RNAcentral.